UCGGGAAUUUUGCACAAUGGGCGAAAGCCUGAUGCAGCAACGCCGCGUGAGGGAUGAAGGCCUUCGGGUUGUAAACCUCUUUUCUCAGGGACGAUGAUGACGGUACCUGAGGAAGAAGCCACGGCUUACUACGUGCCAGCAGCCGCGGUAAUACGUAGGUGGCAAGCGUUGUCCGGAUUUACUGGGCGUAAAGAGCGCGCAGGCGGUCCUUCAAGUCGGAUGUGAAAGUCCCCGGCUCAACUGGGGAGGGUCAUUCGAUACUGAUCGACUCGAAGGCAGGAGAGGGAAGCGGAAUUCCCGGUGUAGUGGUGAAAUGCGUAGAUAUCGGGAGGAACACCAGUGGCGAAGGCGGCUUCCUGGCCUGUUCUUGACGCUGAGGCGCGAAAGCUAGGGGAGCAAACGGG
RNAcentral lists this ribosomal RNA (404 nucleotides) under uncultured bacterium. RNAcentral describes it as "bacterial SSU rRNA". It matches the Rfam family "Bacterial small subunit ribosomal RNA", at positions 355 to 776 of the family's 1533-position model. The record is from RNAcentral.